ACCCUCUUCAGUGCAAACUGGGAGCUAGAAGGUUCACACCAACUGUGCCUUUUCUUUUCUGGAGUGUGCAAGGGUCCACUGAGAGGGCAAUGAACAGCCUGGGAAAAAAAACUUAUCCCCUUUCCAAAGGAUCGGCAAAGAGGAAGAGUUGAUGAUAAUGGUCCUGGGAAGUAAGGCAGUUGUACAUGGAUCACUUCCCAGGACACAAAGGCUGUAUGCACACAUUGCACCCAGGAAAUGAAGUUAAUCAACACCUGCUCACAAGGACAGUGAAAAAUGCCUCCUCACAAUGAUGGGGAUAGAUCUUCCAAGAUCUUUCUGAGAAACAAAGAAGCUGAACCUGUACCUACCUCUUGUUCAACCACGUCCAUGGAACACAGCAGUAGGAAGCUAAUUUACCAUAAGGAAACAAAACAGCACACGUCCUGUUCCAGAAC
This 437-nucleotide long non-coding RNA is filed under the name Numida meleagris (helmeted guineafowl). RNAcentral describes it as "lncRNA (ENSNMEG00000017698.1)". The record is from RNAcentral. Lineage: Eukaryota; Metazoa; Chordata; Aves; Galliformes; Numididae.